Long non-coding RNA from Equus quagga, 1022 nucleotides. RefSeq lists it as uncharacterized. The record is from RefSeq and is a predicted model, not a curated record. The transcript has 2 exons. Lineage: Eukaryota; Metazoa; Chordata; Mammalia; Perissodactyla; Equidae.
GCCCGGGAUGGGGUGGGGAGCCUGCCACUCUUGCUGGCAACCGUUAAGACAAGCAUGAAGAUAAAAUCCAGGAAGCUAAGCAUGGAAGAGGGAAAGCAGACAGAGCCAGGAGCCCUGGGGCAUUGGUGAGCGCCAGAUUGCCCACGCUGGACCUCUGAUUACCAAAGGGAUGAAUCUCUAUCCUGUGAAGAGCAUAGCUGCUGAUCAUGCCAAAACUGGAGCCAUCUUAAUGUGAACAACAGCUUUCCUCCCCAUAAUGCCCGUGCCAGCCAUUGAGCCACCCAGGAGGAUCUGGGGAGCCCCAAGUCUUCAAAGCAGAAACAAAAGGGAAGACUUGUCCGAGAUUACCUUAGUAAUAAGCAGCUAAUUAUAAUAUUAAUUUGCAUAAUACCCUCCCUUUUAGCAGUGAUUUCAAUGCGAAAACCAAGUGGUAUUAAUGAAAAAAAAAUAGUUUCCAGCUGCCUAAGCCCAGAGGCUAAUCCAGGAAUUGAUGCCCUUGCAACAAUGACCAUAAGAUCUCCUUGUGGGCAGAGCCUCUGAAGGCCUGUUUGGGCAGCUAACCCUUCUUUUGAGCGCUCUUUUUUACCUUCAGUGGUUGAGACUGAGGUCUUAAAACUGCUCCUGCCAAUGACAACCAAAGUUACCUGCCAGAGCAGAAAGAAACAAAAGAAAAGGAAAAUCUUAAAUUAUGCGUUCCCUUCUUUAGAAUGGGCCUGUGGUUGGGGGCUGGCAUGUGGGCAUCAGUGGAAGAAAUUGGAGAAGGUGGAAGUGUUCAUGUGAAAAAAAAUGGUUCAACAAUUUCUUAUAAAGUUAAACCCUAUGACUCAGCAAAUCUACUCCUGGGUAUGUACCUAUGAGAAAUGAAGCAUAUGUUCACCAAAAGACUUGUAAAAGAAUGUUCGGAGCACUUUAUUUUUCAUAGCCUCAAACUGAAAACAAACCGAAUGUCCAUUACCAGGAGGGUGGAAGAACAUACUGUGGAAUAUUUACGUAAUAAACUAAUAAAAUACAGACAUACACAA